Molecule: RNA transcript, 4543 nt
Organism: Ruditapes philippinarum (Manila clam)
Lineage: Eukaryota; Metazoa; Mollusca; Bivalvia; Venerida; Veneridae
Exons: 4
Source: RefSeq, a predicted model, not a curated record
CUGCACAGUGCUUCUGUAUUUUUUCAGUUCAGCGAUGACUGGCGGAGACGGAAUAUCCAACUGUGAUACUUUGUGUAAUCCGGACAAUCAUUAUGAGUGGUCCUGCAAAACAUAUUGCCCAGAUUAUAGCUUCAGCCCUGCUGUAUCUACCUCUACUAUUAUACCAACUAUUUCCGGAGAAGCUACAUUGCAAUCUGAUCUAACCGUAGUAUUGCUGGUCGCAUUUGGUGCCUUAUUUGCAACGGCGUUUAUAAUUGUGGCCAUUUAUAUAAUUCGUAAACAAAGACGAAAUCACAAAUUCUGCCCUAUUAUAUAUAACGAACAACUUCCUAUACCUGUUCAAGAGACAGCAAUACGGUAUGAAAAUGAGUUAAAUGAAAUAAAAGAAGAAAUGCAAUCUUUAUCAGAAAACAAGGAUGAUCAGGUUGUUGGAACCAACAGUCAUGUUGAUACCAUACCACCAGAGACAACUAAUCCGGGUGACACCGUUCCACUUUUAGAUUAUAAUUCACCUAGUGCCAAUUCAUUGAGUAACACAUCUGAUGGCGUUGAAGCCUCCAGGUUAGCAAAUUGCAACGGGUUGAACAAUUUCAACGAGCAACGCGGUAAUCAUGCUGCAGUUUGUUGCAGAUCUUGUAUAGAAAUGAACGAAACAUUCGGAAACCAAAGGCAAAUUCCUCAAACUGAAAAUGUAGGGUCUAGGAUUAGUGAUGCUGGUUCCGAAACUGAUUUAAGUGAUGACAGUAUUACUGUACAAAAUGAUUCAAGCGAUGAAGAAAGCAAUGACAGUGGUGCUGCAAGACCUAAACGUGUAGUACGCGUCGUUACUGAAAUUGAAGUUUAAAGCGACAUUAUGCUGAGUGUUUCACUGUCAAGCUGAGAUAAAUUAGUUGUACAUUUCAACAGAUUGACUAUUAUGAUGGCGGUUGAACAAAAUUGAUAAUGCCAACUGUUUAAGAUAAAGUAUAUAAACUUCCUAAAAUAUAAAAGACUGCGCCAUUCUUUUAAAACUUAACAUUACCGAUAAUUUCGUAAAGAUAUUUAAUUUUUUGUGGGUAACGGGGUUAUUGACUAUACAGGGGACGUUUAUCAUAAAAUUGAAAUCAAUAUGAAAAAAUACAAAAUGUAUAAAGUUAUUUAGAAUUCACCUGAACACUCAGCAUUUACUCUUGGAUGGGCAUAAUGUCACCGAAAUAGAAUUUUGAUUUAAAAUUUCAAUUUAAAACAGUUUACAGUUGUAGUAUGAUUUUUUUGUUUUUAAUGUUGAAUGGACAUACGUCAGAAUGUGAUUUUGUUUCAAAUUUUAGCUCACCAAUGUCUUUCUAUAUAUUAUAAUUGUGCUCAAAAAUGUUAUUUUUAUCGAUCUAUUGUUCAAGAGAUUUUAUGUUCAAGUUUGUUGUUAAACAUAUAUAUAAGUAGCUGAUCGUUAUUGUUUUCAGUAAUGAUCGGUUAACUAUAAUACAAAUAUAUAUAAAUUUGUGUAAAGCCAUAAUUGUAUUUAAAGUCAAAUUGCACUCGUUGGCAAGAUAUCAUUAAUAUUUAACAGCCGUUUUCUUCAGACUGAAGCUGUUCAUGUAUUUUCUGAAACAUAUAGGCUUUUUGCAGUGAUAAAAAGUGCGUACGAUAAGGUUAAUUGUUAUAAUUGAUUCAUUAUUUAAUUUCUUGAACGCUUUCAUCUAGACUGUAAUAAUGACAUCGAGUUUUGUAAUAUUUUUGUCAUCAUAGAAUUCUUAUUCAUAGGGCAUUUGAAUGUUGUAUAUAAUAUCCACAAACAUUAUUUGUUUUACUGAUUUAUUUCAUGUUAAUUCUGGCAUGUUGGCCAAAAUCCUAAAUAUUUGAAAGUGAUACAAAAUCGAACCCAACGGUCCUUUGUCGAUCCGAUGUGGUUCGGUUUAAUUAAACUGUUGUGUUUUGUUUGUUCUUUCUAACAAUAAAACAAAUUAAAAUUAAUUAUCUGUUUUAAUUUAUAUUGUCCCUUGUCUAAAUAUAAAUCCAAAAAGUUAAUAAUAUAUAAUGUAGAUGUAAAGCAUAAAGGCUAUAAUGUAGCGUAUGACCCAUCGAGUAUGUUCUUAGAAACGAUGCCUCUGUCAUUAUCCAGAAAGCAAUUAGGUAUAUUGUUAGUAAAUAAACACACUUGAAUACAGUAUAUGUCCAAAUUCAGAAAAGAAAUAGGUAUAUUAUUAGUUGAUCAAUACAUUUAAAACCACGGUACACGUGAGGUUAUAAAAAUUAAAGGGUGAGACGACACUUAAACGAAUAUUUCUAUUACUAACAUAAAUGACCAGUUUUAACGUAACCGUAAUUCAGGCAAGUUACGAAAGCAUUGAAGACAAAGGGUAAAUACUUAAAAAUUGAAAAAUUGGAUGUAACUGUAAUUAAACAUGAGGUGAACCUCCAUACAGGCUUAUGCAUAUACAUGUUUGGCUUACUAUGUUAUCGUUUGCGAUAAUUUGUGAAAUACAAUGUGUGAAAUACCAUAGAUGCGUUGAUAUUAAGUUCUUCAUAUAAAAAUAUCUGGUUUAUAUAAUAUUUUCGCAACGGUAAUUAUAAUAUUUUCGCAACACCAAAUUAUAUUAGUUAAAUCUAGACGACUACACGUAACAGUGUCAAAAUCAUUGAAUCAUAAAAUGAUAUGUAUAUAUUUUUAUAUAAUCAUGAAAUCCUAUUAUAAAUCCAAGAAAUGUACAUAUUUAAAUUUUAAGGAAUCCCUUGAAUGAACUUUUGAAUGUUCCGAUUUAGUAACAUUUAUGAAAACCAGGUCUUUAAAUAGAUUUUAUUGCGUUGUCUCCAAACUCACAUUAAUUCAGGACUGUUAUACGAUAGAGCGAUAUCAAGAAUUUUGCUUCGUUCGAAAUAAAAUGGCGCCGGUAUAUGGCAGGAAUGGAUUUUCUGACUGUAAGGUGAUUUGUGAUCCGAAGAAUGGAUACUCUCACCAGUCGUGUGUUGAUGAAUGUCAAGGGAUAUACAACUUUACCACCAAAGCUAUCAACAGUAUUCCUUUGCCAACUCCAGCUAUUAACAGCGUCACAAUUGCAAACUAUACAAACAUUCCACCCAAUACCAACAGCGAAGAUAGUAUCACUGGAUUGUAUUAUUUAUUAUCUAUUCUAAUAUUUCUCACUAUUAUUUUGAUACUUGUUAUUUGCUUCCGUAAAAACAUUUUAGAAUUCUUGCAAAACAUGAUUCAGUGGACAAGAGACAAAAUGUGUGAGAUAAGCAACAAAAAUUACAGAGAUAACGUGCAAAUGGGUGACUUAAAAGUAGAAUCUGAAGACUUGCUAAAAAAGAAAACUAAUAAUACUGGUAACACAAGUAAAAAUCUUGAACGCGAGCAAACAUUUGGUAACAAAGGUGAAAAUCUUGAACGUGAGCCAACAUUUGGAAACACAUCAGCUAUUUCCAUGGGAAGUUUAAGAAUUCCAAAGAAUGCUACGGAAAUAAAUGACAACGUUUUAACUGCUACAAUCACAAGUAAUGGCCCCGACCACAAUUCCACUGCCAACAAUGAAGGGACAGAAAGCGAAACAGACACUGAUACUGAAGUUGAAAGUGGUUACAAUUCUAAUAUUUCACCUACAGACGAAGCAAAUAGAGUAGCCAAAAGCAAAGGGGUUGUUCGCGUAAUUACAGAAAUAAAUCUCCGAUGAAUUGUUGUUUGUUCCUCAAAAAAUAUAUAAUAAAAUAAAUAAUAAUAAUAAUAAGCUUAAAAAGACAGCACAUAUCUUUUUGCAUUGUAUGAUAUAAAUCGGUGAAUGUAUGCAUAUAUGUGGUCAUGCAUUAAUAUUUAUCAACAAUAUAAAUGUACAAUGAUGACCAUUGCCAUGUACUUAAAAUGCUUACAUAAAUCUCGUAUUUACUAAAAUGUACAUAUCCAUCAAUGCCAAAAAAUAUGUCAUCUGUGUAUGCGUGGCUUUCUGUGAGUUCCGUGUUGUGCUCUAUUAAGUUAUUGGUACGUCCCACCCUUUCUUUCUCCGUCCUUGCGUCAUAUUGCCCCAAUUUGGUUUGAUGCCUAUGGUUGAAGCACGUUUUGUUGAGAACAACGACCUGUGAACACCGCCUUGCCUUGUUGAUUUUGUCACUUUUUUAAAAAAAGUAUUGACUUUGAUUGAUAAUUUGUCAUUUAAAACCAUAUCACAUGGCAUAUGUGAAACUGUAAUGUCAGUAAAGAAUAAGUUAUAAGUACCAUUAUGUUAUGUUAGAUAAUGUUAAAUAAAUUUCUCUGUCAUUUUUUUUUAUAUUAUUCAUAAAAGAAUUAAUUUUGAUUGAUAUAUUGUCAUUUAAAACCAUAUCACAGGGCAUAUGUGAAACUGUAAUGUCAGUAAAGAAUAAGUUAUAUGUACCAUUAUUUUAUGUUAGAAAAUGUUAAAUAAAUUGAAUGAUGCUCAAAUGUGUGAUGUAUCAUACAUAAGGCGAUAGUUGUGAUAGUGAGAUUUGUGUUGGUAAACACGCUAAAAACUGACAGUGGUUCUUUAACUUUUGUUAUUCUAUUGAUAUGUCAUUUAGAUCAGUACAUCAAAUAAAAGAGUAAAUGAAAUAGAUUGUU